Long non-coding RNA from Agrilus planipennis (emerald ash borer), 2629 nucleotides. RefSeq lists it as uncharacterized. The transcript is spliced from 9 exons. NCBI's taxonomy places the organism in Eukaryota, Metazoa, Arthropoda, Insecta, Coleoptera, Buprestidae. The record is from RefSeq and is a predicted model, not a curated record.
AUAUGUAUUACGAUCUUCUUUGAGAUUAACAUAUUUGACGUACUUCCUUCUCGCUGGGUGGUCUGCUGUACUUCCACGCUUUGUGAUGUGUGUUUUAGUAGUGACUAGUGAUAUUUUGUGUGCAUUUUUGAUAUAAAAUGUGGAAACUACUAAUACACACAAAAUUUCUAUCACAAUAGAUUCUGGAAUUACAGUUUUAUCUGUUGUAUGUUUUUAUAUUAAUGGGUAUCGAAUUAUUUUGACGAUUCCCGUUGAUUAAGUUACUAAUUAUACCUACAGGUGAGAAUACACUUUUUCUUGCCUUUGCCAAGCGAAUUUUUCUUCAGCAGUUCAGUCUACAGGGACAGUGUAUUUCCUUCCUAAAGCUUAAAAGGCCUUGUUGUCCGUAGGCAUUACAAUACCAUCAAGGGACUUAAAAAUGACCUAUGUCACAAUGUAAUAAUAUUAAUGGUAUGAAGAGCUUUUAUAAAUGUAUCAUUCCUUCCGCACUAAUACAAAACCUUGGAAUAAGUUUGGCUUCAAAGAAAAGUUAUGAAAGUGACUUCUUCCCCUGGAAAUAAGAAUAAUGAUCACAGGAUGAAGUGGAUUGGUUUGUGACAUGUUUAGAGGCAUUAGAAGUUGUAGGACUAGAAGAUAAGAACAAUCGUUUGAGAAUAUUUUUGGGGGUUUGGUUGGUGUUAAAGCGCCACUACAUUUUGCUCGUUCUGUUACAAAAAUUAAAAGGGAAUGUCACUUUAAUACUUCGCGAAAGUGUGGAAAAAUACUUUCUUUUAUUAAGAACAGAGUUUAUUUUAUUUAAAAUUACAAUAAUGUUAAUGUUAAUGUAACAUAAUUAAUUUUAGGUUGGCGUUGCGUUUUCCAUAUGCAACGUCUAAUAGACAACCCUUAAACAACGUUUCAAAACUGACAGAAGCAAAACAGCAAAAUUGAUGUAAAAGUGACCUUUCCCUGUUAGUGUGAAUGUUAGCUUAAUACAAAUUAUUCAUGUAUUCAUUUUAUUUUAAUAUGAGAGAAGAUACUGGACAAGAAGCAUAAAAUAUGUAAAUUUUCAAUUUAACAGCUGUCUUAUUUUGCUGAUUAAUGAAUGGUACAGUGUGCAUCUAUUAUUUUAUCUGGCACCUGCUUCUAACUUUACUACCUCAUCGCCACAUUAAAAUUUUUACUUUAACGAAAAGGAAUUGCAGUUAAUUUUGAUGCUACUGAAAUAACUACAAUACUCCUUUUUUCGGUUAAUUAGAUUUGACCAACAAAUGAGAGAAAAUUGAAAGUUAAUUUUAACCCUAGUGAUGACCAUAAGCGAAGUUUGCAUUGAUGCCUUUCAGAGUUUGGUUUGCUUUUUGCAUGUAUGAAUUUGGAACGUUACACUCUGCAGCUAAUCAAGAUUGAUGUUAAGAUCCAAGAUAUCAAGAGCGGAAGAGUGCUCAUUUUGAUGUUGCUGAAAAACAAGCUGUCUUCUGUGGCGUUCUACAUGUUAACUUCUCAUCUUGGAGAAUCUCGAGGUUAAUUAAGGAACAUUACAAAAACUCCCGAUACCAAUAAAUUAAGGAGCAUUCAUUGUAGCAGUUUUCAUUCGCUCCAGAAAGUAAUGUGCCUGUGAUCUUAAAGAAAGCAUAAAAGUGGCUUUUUUGGUUGGGAAUGGAGUCAGUGUGCUGUUGCUGAAGGAAGGAUUAGUGAUAAUGAAUUGCAAUGGCAUUAAUGUGGAACUGAUCUUUCCAUCAGUGUGAAUGUUACUGAUUUACUUUCUUUAAAAGUGGUAAUUAGAUACUUUUUCCUGUUCGUUUCUGUAAAUUGCUCAACAAACGAGAAGGAAUUGCAGUUAAUUUUGGUGCCGAGAAUGAGAGGCAAUUGGAAAUUAAUUUGAAAGUCACUGAAACAACAAAUUGUAUGCAGUGGUGUCCCUAUUGAAUUUAGUUUGCUCAUCAUACUGGUAGAUUUUAGAACGCGACAUACUCGACGAUUGAUAUUAAUUGCUCUUCAUUAUUCUGUAUGGCAUUUCUUUUAAAUAUCUAUUGUUCACAACAUCUAUGGUUUUUCGUUUAACAUUUAUCUAUUGUUUACAGCUUAAAUUAACUUGUGUCAUACAUCUGUGGAAUUUUAAUAAUUACCUAUCGUCUGCUUCAUAAAUUGACAUCGUUCAUCUAUGAUUCUUUCACAUUUAUCUGUCAUUACGUAAAUUUGACGCUUGUCGACAUUUUGUAAUCCAGCUGCAUUACUUGCUUUUUGGUGCGUGUUUUUAGAUGUAUUUAAUCCCUUACUUGAUUAAUAGUGUAAUUAAUAUGUUUUUUGUUCAUUUCUACAGAUCGUCCAACAAAUGAGGGUGAAUUAAAGUUCUGCUUGGUUGUACUGAAACAACCAAUGACUACAUGGGUGUGGUCUUUCAUGGAAUAUAUUCUUGAUUUGCCGUUUUCGUCUUUGUCUUGCAACAUUAUUCAGUUAAUUUUCAACCGAUUAGUGAGAGCAACUGGAGGUUUAUUUGAAUUCUACUGAAAUAGCAAAUUUUCUGCAUUGGAAUUCCUCCUGGAUUAGUUUUGCAUUUCACUCCUGCAAACUUUGGGACAUUAUGGUCUACACUCUACAGUUAAUUAAGAUGGACGUUGGAGACGACAAAGAUGACCCCGUAGUUAAAAUA